UUUCCGUAGGUGAACCUGCGGAAGGAUCAUUACAGAAAUUGGCUCAGGCCAUUUCCAACCCUUGUAUAAUCUCCUGUUGCUUCGGCGCUCCGGCGCCGACGCCUAUACAAACUCUGAAAUUGUUGUGUCUGAAAAACAUAUAAUAUAUCAAAACUUUCAACAACGGAUCUCUUGGUUCCCGCAUCGAUGAAGAACGCAGC
This 200-nucleotide unclassified non-coding RNA is filed under the name uncultured fungus. RNAcentral's name for it is "sequence contains ITS1, 5.8S rRNA gene". The stretch from base 152 to 200 matches the Rfam family "5.8S ribosomal RNA", at positions 1 to 49 of the family's 154-position model. Lineage: Eukaryota; Fungi. The record is from RNAcentral.